UGUCUUCUAAAUAAAGACCAGUAUGAACGGCUAAAUGAGGACAAACCUGUCUCUUGCAACCAAUCAGUGAAACUGAUCUCCCGGUCCAAAAGCCGGAAUAACCCCAUAAGACGAGAAGACCCUGUGGAGCUUGAAACAAACUACUAUGCACCACACAAGCUGCAACUAGUAAAUAGUUUUAAGUUGGGGCGACUUCGGAACCAAAAAAAACUUCCGAGCACAGAACCACCCACUCUUACCAAGACUAACAAGUCAAAGUCCAAAAACGACCCAGUAACACUGAUCAACGAACCAAGUUACCCCAGGGAUAACAGCGCCAUCUUCUUCAAGAGUUCAUAUCGACAAGAAGGUUUACGACCUCGAUGUUGGAUCAGGACACCCCAAUGGUGCAGCCGCUAUUAAAGGUUCGUUUGUUCAACGAUUAACAGU
This 429-nucleotide ribosomal RNA is filed under the name Plestiodon japonicus. RNAcentral describes it as "partial 16S ribosomal RNA". It matches the Rfam family "Bacterial large subunit ribosomal RNA", at positions 1970 to 2594 of the family's 2925-position model. The record is from RNAcentral. Lineage: Eukaryota; Metazoa; Chordata; Lepidosauria; Squamata; Scincidae.